AAAACAUCUGCAGGAGAGAGAGUCGUGGAUUUACACACUCCGCCGAAGGCGCAAACUCCCAUAAUCGCUCAGGCAUACCGAACUGCAGAAAUGAU
Molecule: non-coding RNA, 95 nt
Filed under: Dechloromonas aromatica (nom. nud.)
Lineage: Bacteria; Pseudomonadati; Pseudomonadota; Betaproteobacteria; Rhodocyclales; Azonexaceae
Description: Dechloromonas aromatica Glycine sequence
Rfam family: Glycine riboswitch aptamer
About the family: This family represents the bacterial glycine riboswitch.
Source: RNAcentral